AUCUUUGCGCAGUGGCAGUAUCGUAGCCAAUGAGGUUAAUCCGAGGUGCGAUUAUUGCUAGUUGAAAAUCUUUUCUUAAGCAUUUACAAGUCCUUUAUACUUAGAAACAUUUCAAACUUUACAUCUGUGCACACC
RNAcentral lists this small nuclear RNA (135 nucleotides) under Crocodylus porosus (Australian saltwater crocodile). RNAcentral's name for it is "U4 spliceosomal RNA (ENSCPRG00005008652.1)". It matches the Rfam family "U4 spliceosomal RNA". From Rfam's summary of the family: U4 small nuclear RNA (U4 snRNA) is a component of the major U2-dependent spliceosome. The structure of U4 snRNA from yeast and human has been reported. Lineage: Eukaryota; Metazoa; Chordata; Crocodylia; Crocodylidae. The record is from RNAcentral.